AAAAAUCAUUACAGCCAGCCACCAUUUUUAGACGAUCUUCUUUUUCUUCCACAUUUCUUCUUUGUUGUGCUCUCUAAAUCAGGCCGUCAUGGUUCUUUGGUUUUUCCAUCCCCUGAUAAAGUAUUUCCUUGAUAAGUGAAUUUUCUCACUGCUUUGAUCGCUUCUCUAUUGAAUCGACCCAACUUUUUGAAAUACAUUCCCAUUUUAUUCAUCCCUAUUACUUUGAAACUUCCAAAAACCCUAAAUCUUUCUCAAAGGAGAUAGUCACCCCCCUUUUUUCAACAAAUUUUGCUGGAGAAAUAUAAUUAAUCAAAGCCUUCCCUGUCAAUUUCAACAGCCCUUGCUACCGCACUGGAUAGGCCAGAUCUAAGAUAAGUAUUUUCAUUUCCUUUUAAUCUUUCUUUUACUAAGAUAUAAGCAACUCUAUUCAUUUGUUUCCUUGCACGUUGAAAAAAACAAGUAACAAAGUUACUACAUAAUCAUUUAGCAUCAACAAUGUACGCUCUAAUUUCUGAUCUGUCUUCCUCCCGACUUUUUACUUUUCUAAUGAUAGUUAACGCAUUUUCCUCGACUUUAACUCGUAGGAAUCCAGAUUCUGCCCCAAAUUGAAUCGCUUGUACGCACGCGAGAGCUUCUGCUGCAAAUGUUGUUGGUAUGUGUUCAUUUCUGUAAAUUUUUGUUUUUAAGGCUUAACCUAAAGAGUUUCUUAUAACAAUCCCUAUACACGAUCUAUUGUUCUGUUUUUCAAAUGCAACAUCAAAAUUGAUUUUGACAUUCAUCUCAUUUGGUGGCCUCCAAUUCUCAUUAGCAAUUAUGUUGACAGGUAUCAUUCUAUAUACCCAUUCAAUUUCUUGUAUAUAGUCUAAAAUGAAUUGGGCAACUCUCGCUUCUGUUUGUGCCUUAUUCUUAUGUAUUAGCAAAUUUCUUGCUGACCAUAAGCCCAAUACAGUACAUAUAAUGCUUUUAAUCUGUCUGUUUCAUUUUUUUGAAUAAAUAACUGAUCUAGUCCUUAAAUUGUGCCUGAUUUUGUUCCAGGGGCCAUCCAAUUCCUAGCAUUUCCCAUAUUCCUGCUGCAAAAUAGCAGUCUUGAAAGACAUGCUCCCUGGUUUUUUCAUUAUUUCUGCAUCUUAGGCAAGUCGCAGAAUAUCAUAUCUUGCGUUGAAGCAAAUUAGAGAAAGUAGGAAGGAAAUUAUUUAAGGUCUUCCAUACUAGGAUUAUUAUUUUAGUUUGCAAGUUUUCCUUCCAUAAUUCGUUGUACAUGGGUUUGUAAGAAAUUUGAUUUUGCUGUAUGUUUGUUGAAAUUUUCGAUUGUAUUAAUUUUUUGUACCCACUGCGUACUGUAUAAACUCCCGAAGCCUCUCUUCUCCAUAUGAAUUUAUCCAAUUCUUUCUCAAGUGGGAGGGGAAUACACAAAAUUCUUAGUGUGUUGUCUUGGUGGAAGGUACGUUGAAUAAACUCUUGCUUCCAUCGGUUUGUAUCUUGCUCAAUUAGUUUAAAAACUAACACAAGAUUUUAGGUACUGCCUGGAUUUUGAAUCUUGUAGUCAACUGAGCACGGAACCCAUGCAUCAUUCCAGAUUUGUAUUUGAGUUCCCGAUCCAACUCGCCAGCCCAUCCCUUUCUCAAGAAGUCAUUUUGCCGACCAAAGGCUUCGCCAGGUAUAUAACAGUAAAUUCUCUAACCUUGCAUGCAUAAAGUCUGAAUUUGGGCAAUAUUUGGCUUUUAAAGAUUUGGCUAAUAAUGAAUCCGGAUAAUAAAUCAAACGCCAACUCUGUUUAGCUAGCAUUGCCACAUUAAAUUUUGAAAGGCAUCGAAAUUUUAUUCCUCCAUCCUUUUUUAAUUCACCAAGCUUACUCCAUUCACACCAGUGUAUGCAACGUUUUUCAGAACUUUUUUGCCACUAGAAUUGACUCAUAAUAUUUUCAAAAUCUUUGCAUAAUAAUUUUGGCAGCAGAAAACAUGCCAUUGUGUAGGUUGGAAUAGCCUGUAAAACUGUUUUUAUAAAGACCUCCUUUCCUCCCAUUGACAAGAAUCUAGUGCUCCACCCUCAAACCUUACUAAUCAUCUUGUCCUUUAAAUUUUGGAAAGAUAUUUUCUUAUCCUUUCCAACCAUAUUUGGUAAUCCUAAAUAUUUUUCUGGAUUUUUGAAGCUUUGAACACCCAAUAUGUUAGCUACUUGUUCCCGAAUUUGCUUAGAGACAUUUGUACUAAAAUAUGCCAUUGACUUUUCGAAAUUAAUACAUUGCCCUGAGCAUACCUGAUACUCUCGUAAAACAUCUUUUAGAUUAUUAGUUACUCUAAUUGUUGCGUUCUCAAAAAGAAUGCAAUUAUUUGCAAACAAUAAGUAUGUAAUUGGGGACCUCUUCGGCAAACCUUUGCUCCCUUUAUAGAGCCUUCCCUAGCUGUAAGCCUCAUCAAAGAUGAUAAUCCUUCACUAAAAAUUAAAAAUAGAUAUGGGAUUAAAGGAUCACCUUGACGCAAACCCUCACUGGGCUGAACUUUUCACCCCUCACCCCAUUCAAACAAACAGAAUAUUUAGUUGUUUUUACACAUUUCAUGAUUAAAGACACAAAAGACUUUGCAAAUCCCAUUUUUUGCAUGACUUUUUUCCAAAUAAAGCCACUUCACCUUGUCACAUGCCUUACUCAUAUCCAGUUUUAAGGCUAAGCUCCUAUUAUUACCUAUUCUCUUUUGUUUUAAUGUUUGCAUUAAUUCAUAAGCCGAUAGAAUAUUAUCAGUGAUGAGUCUGCAUGGAACAAAUGCGCUUUGGGCCUUAUCAAUGCAUUUAUCAAGAAUUUGUUGGAGCCUAUUAGCAAUUGUCUUAGCGAUAAUAUUGUACAUAACUGUGCAUAGACUAAUAGGUUGGAAAUUCUUGAGAUUGGUAAGAUUUGCUACUUUCGGUAUAAGCUCAAUAUUUGUUAUAUUAAUACCAUCAAUCGGCUCUCUCUCAUUUAAAAUCUUGAGACAAAAAUCACCAACUUUUUUUCUAGUAAUAUUCCAAAAUCUUUGGAAAAUAAAGCUGAAAAGCCAUCACAUCCAGCUGCUUUUGUUGGUCCCAUACUUUGAAGUGCUGAAAAAACUUCAUCACUAGUAAAAGCUUUACUUAGCAUAUCAUCCAUAGAAUCUGAGAUGUGUGUACCUAUUCCUGAAAAAAUGUAUUCAAGAUUACCAACACCUCCGGAAGAGAAUAGAUUUUCAAAAUAUGGUUUAGUCACCUCCUCCAUUGCUCUUCUAUUAGAAACUAACUGACCAUGUUCAUUCUUCAGUUCUUCAAUUCUGUUUCCUCUUCUUCUAUGGGAAGCAAAAUUGUGAAAAAAAUUUGUAUUCCUGUCUUCUUCUUUCAACCAAUUCAGCCUAGCUUGUUGCUCCCAAUAUUUCUCUUCUUUAUCAAUUUCCAAAUUUAAAUGGAUUUUAGCUUCGAUUAAGUCAGCCAAGUUGUUAGCCGUUCUUUCUAUUCCAUCAAAGUAUUCAAUACGGCCUAAUAGGUUUUCUGUCAAGCCUCUCCUUGACUUCCUGAUUCCCAUAGCCCACCUUUGCAAUCCUUUGCCAACCAAUGUUAAUUUCUCCAUUACUCCUCCAUUAGACAGUGUCCAAAGUUUUUUUACUUCCAUCUCACGCGAAUCUUCCAUAAACCACCAUGCUUCAAAUAUGAAUUUUACCAUUCUCUUAAACAUCUCUUCAAUUUUUGUUUGUAAAAAGAAAAGACAAUGGUCCGAGCAAGAAUGAGGCAAAUGUUGCAUUUUAAAUUUAGGGAUUAAUUCUAACCAAUUUUUGUUUGCAACUCCUCUAUCCAGUCGUUUUUUUAUGUUUGUUGUUGAAAGAUUACCACGUUCCCAUGUAAACUAUUUUCCUGCAUAGCCCACGUCUUCUAGACGACAAUCAUUAAGAACUUGACAAAAUUUUUCCAUUCGGCCUUCAUCCUUUGGUAAGCCCCCUUCCUUUUCAAAAGCAUAUAAAAUCUCAUUGAAGUCGCCACAAACUAACCAAUUUGACUCAUGUUCUCUCCCUAAUCUCCUUAGAAUAUCCCAACCCUCGCUUCUUCCACAAGCCUCCGAUGCAUCAUAGAAGUCGAUCAAUCUCCAAUUUACCCUAAUUUCAUUGUCCUCAAUAUUGACAUCAAUAUGAUGUUUGGAAAGAUUCUUAAAUUGAUUGUUACAUCACUUUUCCAACCAAGACUUAACCCUCAUCUCAUUUCCACUAUCGGAACAUCAAUACUAUAAGUAAAUCCACACCAUUGUCGAACACUUUCCAUUCGGGAAUUAUUUAACUGUCUCCAUAAAGAAGACAAUUUGAGGAUUAUAUGUUUUCAGCAUAUGUUGAAGUCUUUUAACGCCAUGUGGACUCCCUAAUCCAUAGACUUUCCAACUUAAAAUUUUCAUUGUGUCCAGUCGGCUUGCCUAUUGGUAGCCGCCAAUUUCUGAUUUUUAUAAUGGGUUUCUCUUCGUUCCCCUUGACCAUCCACAACUAUAUGACUUCCUGACCUAAGCCUCUUUUUUCUUUCCUCGUUCUCUAAUGGAAUCUCUUACAUAUCCUCUAUCAUAUCUUCCGUCUGUCCAUCACUUUUACCUUUAGCACUAAAACCCAGUUCUUGACUCAAAUUAAUAAUUUUACAAUCAUCUUUCUUACCAAUCCCCCUCCCAAAAUUAUUUCCUAUAUUAUCUUCCCGUAACCAGGCGCUUCGAGUAAUACUCGUCCUCCUAGGUUGAGCCCUAAGUGUAGUAUCCCAUCUAAAUUCCACUUCUCUUAAUCUUAUGUCAAUCCUUUUUUGACAAAAUUUGUCUACAUGUCCCAAACAUCCACAAAGAAAGCAAAACAAAGACAAUUUUUCAUAACGAAAUUUUACUAAAACCAGAUCUGAAUGAGGGAUCAAAAUCUUCUUUUUCCUCGAGUGGAUUUCUAAUAUCAAUCUGAACUCUAAUUCGCAUAUAGUUUCUAAAGCCUUGAUUAAGCUGUUCGGUGUCAUGUUUCAAAAAUUUGCCAAUAAAAUUUCCCAAUAAUUUUGCCACAUUAUCAGUAAAAAAAACCCGGUGGAAGAUUAUGAAUUUGUACCCAAAAAUCAGAAAAAACUAAUGGAACAGAACUCGGAUCCUCACCAUUUUUUAAUUUAUAAAGGAUAAAGAAAUGAUUAUUAAAAGUCCAAGGUGUUCCACUUAUUACCUGUUCCAAAUCAACCUCAUAGAAAAAUCUGAAUAAAUACAUUUUUUCUCCAAGUUCAGAGAUUUGAAUUCCCCCAACGGGUGCCAUAAAUUAGCCAUCUUAUUUUUCAUGGCCAAAAAAUUAACCUCAUUUGCUGUGAGGGCACAUCCAGCUAAGCAUAAAUCAUAUAUUGAUUGUUGAGGUCCUUCCUCUGCUGCAAAUUGAAGCCCUUCGUCUUCGUCGUCUUCUUCAUCCAGACUCAAAUUUGCCAAAUCAAUAUCCACUAAUGCCAUCUUCAAUCCUGUGCACUAUUUUCCAAUGAAAAAAAAAAAAGAGAACUUGAAAUUUAUUGUCGACAGAAAUUGCUAAUCACCUAAUCGAAAUCACAUUCAAAACCCUAGACUUUGCUAGCCAAGACCGUGCCACUCAUCGGACAGACUUAAAAAAACAAACAAACAAAUCUUUAAAGCUAAAAAAUAAAAAGUUUAACUCUUUAAAAAUAAAAAAUGAAUUAAAAUAUAUUUUAACUUUUAUAAUUUUACAGAAAAUGAUACUAAUUAUUUCAACAUAGAUGGUACGGACAGUUUGAAUCGACAUAUUAAAUUUGAUGAGGUAUUUUUUAGGCAGAGUACAAACCAGUCAGUUUUCUAUACUUCAUGCUUCCAACCACUGGGGACCACACAGAUUCCUCCGCAACCAAUACAUCAUUCGCAUUAAUCCAGUCCAAGAUGUUAUUUUACAUGAGAAAAACACUUACCAAUUCCUCUAUAGAUUAUUACCUUCAAAAUCAACACUCCUAGCUCAAUCAUAAACUUGGGAGUUUGAACAUUUUGAUAUCUUAUGCACAAGUCUGAAUUUAUGAGCUCUUUCACAAAUUUAAUAAUUAUUUAAAAUAUUACUCUUAAAUAAAUUUAGAUAAAUAGUUGUUCAAGUUCAUUUGAACUUAGACAGUCAUGUAUCUUUGUUCAUUGUAGAUAUUGUUUUUAAUAAUAUUUAAUAAUUUUUUAUUGUUUUAAAAUAAUUUUUUAUGUCCAAAUUUAUUUUGGGCUUGAGUUUUUAAAUAAUUAUUUUAUUUAGUAAUUUUUAAAAUAUUUGUCGAUGUGGCAAAUAUAGUACACCAUAUGUCAUUGUCGGGUUGUUUUGUCAAUCAUAUAUUACUUAAUCACAAAAAUAGGUAGAAUUUUUAACUGAAUCACCAAUUUUCUCUUUAAUCUAAAAUAUAAUUAUUAAUUUAUAUAUUUUUUAAAAAAUAUAUAUAUAAAAUACAAUCUAACUCUUAAUAUAGAGACUUUUAUUAUACUUAAUUUUCUCUCAUAAUUAUCAAAUUCAUUUAGAUUUAUCUACUCCAAUCCAUAGUUUUACUUGUGCAUCACUCGAAAAAGGAAAGUUUAAAAGGUUAUUUGUAUUUUAAUUCAUUAAAGCGACAAUCCAAAAAGAAAAUAAAUAAAGUAAACCUUCAAGUCUGAUAAUAUUGCACUGAUACAUAGCCGCUGGGACUAAAAUUUAGAGACGGAAACCUAUACCAAAUGAUGUUUUACUGGAAAGUGAUUUUGGUGGGAGAUGUUUAAGGUUUCCGAGUUGAUUCUAUAAUAUAAUAUUUAAUGUAUUAUCGAAUUUUAGACAUCAUAAAUAAAUAAAUAAUAAUAUAAUAUAUCAUCAUUUAAAAAAAAUAAAAAUGAGUGAAAAGUUUAUAAAUAAAUAAUAAUAAUUUAAAUAUAAUUAAAUAUUGUAAAUAAAUAUUAAUAAUUAUCGAGGUUUUAAGGUGUAAAUAUUUUUUAUCAUUAAUUAAUACUUAAUUAUGUUUAAAUAAAAUUGUUAGGAACUCUUAUAUUGUUUUCAUUUAAUGAUGAUAUGUCAUUUUUUCAGUAGAAAUAUAUUAUAUUAUUAUGCAUUGACGGUACAUAAGACUUAAAUAUUAUUCUCAUAGUUAUUUAAGUUGAGUCCAAGAAAUAUGGGUUUAAAUCUUUUCCUAGCUUGUCCAUAUAUGUACUAAUAGUUAACUCAAACUCAUUAGAACAAUCCACAUUAUUAUAUUAAAAAUUUUUAAUAAAACUAUUUAAUAAUUAUAAUGUAUUUUUUUUCUUAUUUGAUUUAUACUAUUACAUAUUUAGUUUUUAUAUAAUUUAAAUUACAUAAAAUUAAAAAACAACUCUAGCGGCCACUGGACCUUAAAUAUUAAUAUCCAAUCCUGAUUUAUCUUAAAACAUAUUGUUUAAGUUAUGUUUUUUAGCUGCAAGCCUUUGAGUUUUGAUAAGUAAACCCUAAUUCUAAGGUAUUAGAGAAAUAAAAACUGAAAAAGUCAAUUAAUUUUGCAACAAAAGAAUUUAUUCAUAGAAUUGAAUUUUCCUCGGUUCUGAACUUCGGAGCUUGAAUUGAAGGUGAAAACCCUAAACAAUUAACUGUUUGACACUGCUUUGUAAUGGAACAUUUUAUUUUUUAUUUUUUUUUGUUCAACGUAACGAAGGUAAACAGAUUGAAGGUGAAAAUCCUAAAAAAUUAAAUUUGAUUAAGUAUUUAUUAGCAUAAGGCUCCAACUUUUUUUAUAUAGGACACUUCCACCUAGUUUUGUACUAGAAUUCCUGUCAGUAAAAGCUUCCUUAGUUUGUAGCUCCAGUAAUGGAAUAAGAGACGUAUGUUUUGUCGGGCAACAGUGAGUUGCACAGGACGUUCGAAGUUUUACCAAUAAAUAUCUUUUAUAAUAUAUAUAUAUUUUGAAUGCGUCCAUGGAAGUUUCUUACACCAUGAUCAGCAUUUCACAUGUAUGUGUUCUCUUCGGUCCACUUGCCAAUUCUGUUGGGUAUGGGUCUCAUUGAGAAACCCAUAAUUUCUGCCACAUUUUAUUGUCUCUUUUUUUGUUUUGUCAAAAGCCAUUUUUUGAGGCUUUUAACAUGGGCAGAAAUUUUUGAGAGCCAAAAAAAUCUCAAAUUAAAACAGAGAGAAAGAGAGAAGAAAAUUUUAAUUUUUCAAGUUUGGUGCAGCAGUGAUCAACUCUUCGAUCGAAGGUUCAUCCAUGGUUCGAUUGAGCUGAUUUUUGGACAGCAGCUAGGCGAUAAGGUGUUCUUAACUUUGUACGGUCGGAUUUUUCAUCCGAGUCUUGUAGCUUCGAAAAUAUCCAUUUUUUCAGCAGCUGCGUUUUGGUGAUAUUCUCUCAUUUUUCUCUCUUUUGCUAAAGAUUACAUAUUGUUAGCCUUAUUGGAGUUGAAUGCUUGUUGUAGGCUUGAUAUUGUGAUCUUGUAGUUGAACAUUUGAUGAUAGUAGAGCUCUUGAUCGGACUCUGAAGUCCCGUGGUUUUUUACCCUUGAUUUAGAGGGGUUUUCCACGAAAAAAUACCGGUGUCUCUAUUUAUUUUUGUUGUGGUUGCAUUAGUUGAUUUAUGGUUGAUUAUGGUUGCUAGAGAACAUAUCUUGUACUAUUGUGCUAGCCAUAAUUUUUGACAGGAGUUAUAGGGAGAGAAAGAACACCGGUUGUGCUUUCGCUUUGUUUCGGUUGUUCAAUUUCUUCCCAACAAACUGGUAUCAGAGCUUGGUUAUUGUGUUAGAUAAUUAUGGAAAUUAAUACGAGCAAGAUGAUUAUGUUGAAUGGCACAAAUUAUCAACUUUGGCGGAAUAAAAUGAAGGACUUGUUGUUUGUGAAGGCUUUGCAUCUUCCGGUCUUUACAACUCAAAAACCCGAUUCGAAAAGUGAUGAAGAAUGGGAAUUUGAGCAUCAACAAGUGUGUGGCUUUAUUCGACAAUUUGUUGAAGAAAAUGUUUACAACCACAUUGAUCAGGAGACACAUGCUCGAACAUUGUGGGAGAAGCUUGAAAGCUUGUAUGCUUCGAGGUCGGGCAAUAACAAGUUGUUUUGCUGAAGAAAAUGAUGGCGUUGAAAUACAAAGAAGGAAUGUUUAUAGCGGACCACGUUAGUGAAUUUCAGAGUGUGAUGAAUCAGUUGCUUGGUAUGGGUGUCAAAUUUGAUGACGAGAUUUUAGGGCUUUGGUUGCUUGCUACUUUACCAGACUCUUGGGAGACCUUUCGGGUCUCGCUCAUUAAUUCUGCCCCACAGGGUAUUAUUACUUUGGAUUUGGCUAAGAGUGGUGUGUUGAAUGAAGAGGUUAGAAGAAGAUCUCAGGGUUCUACAUCACAGUCCGAGGUGUUGGUUAUCGAGAACAGGGGGAGAAACGGAGACAAAGAUGGAAAGGGUAGAGAUAAAAGCCGAAGCAAGUCAAGAUCGAGAUACAAGAAUCUUGAGUGUCAUCAUUGUGGUAAGAAAGGUCAUAUCAAGAAAUAUUGCUUCAAGUGGAAGAAAGAGAACAAAGGUGGUGGUGAUAAACACGAUCAGAAUGACGAUAAAAAAUUCGAGCGUGUUGCUACUGUUACUCGUGAAGAUCUAUUAGUUAUUUGUGAUGAGAAUUUGGUUAACCUAGCAUGCGACGAGACUAGUUGGGUGAUUGAUACUGGUGCAUCACUUCAUGUCACGUCGAGGAAGGAAUUCUUCACAUCUUAUACUCCUGGUGAUUUUGGGGUACUGAAGAUGGGUAAUGACGGUUUGGUUUCGGUUAUUGGUAUGGGAGAUGUUAGCUUGGUGAGUAACAAUGGAACAAAGUUAACUCUCAAGGAUGUCAGACAUGCACCGGAUAUCCAUUUGAAUUUGAUUUCUACAGGAAAGCUUGAUGAUGAGGGAUUUUGUAACACCUUCAAUGAAGGGCAAUGGAAGCUGACUAAAGGCUCCUUGGUUGUGGCUCGAGGAAAGAAGAGCUCAAAUUUGUACUUGAUGCAAGCUUUGACUUCUUGAGAAAUGGUGAAUGUGACAGCGAAUGACAGCUCAAAUGAGUUGUGGCAUAAAUGACUUAGUCACAUAAGUGAGAAGGGGCUUAACUGUUUAGCGAAGAAGAAUCAACUUUCGGGUUUAAAGAAUGCUACACUGAAGAAUUGUGCUCAUUGUCUAGCAAGAAAGCAGAGAAGAGUUUCAUUUAGAAGCCAUCCUCCUCAUAGGAAAUCAAAGUUGCUAGAGUUGGUCCAUUCAGAUGUUUGUGGUCCGAUAAAAGUAAGAUCACAUGGUGGUGCACUUUACUUUGUGACUUUCAUUGAUGAUUGUUCAAGAAAGCUAUGGGUUUACACUUUGAAGUCUAAAAAUCAAGUCUUUGAGGUGUUUAAAGAGUUUCAAGCAUCAGUUGAAAGGGAAACUGGGAAGAAGUUGAAGUGCAUUCGUACUGAUAAUGGUGGCAAGUACACAUGGUCGUUUCAUAAGCAUUGUCUGUGACAAGGAAUCAGACAUCAGAGAACACCACCAAAGACUCUACAGUUAAAUGGGUUAGCUGAAAGAAUGAACCGAACAUUGAUUGAGAGAGUCAGAUGUUUGUUGUCAGAUGCAAAGUUGCCAAGAUCGUUUUAGGCUGAAGCUUUGAAUAUAGUGACACAUGUGAUAAAUCUGUCUCCUAGUGUUCCUUUGAAAGGUGAUGUGUCAGAUAGAGUUUGGUUUGGUAAAGACGUGUCAUAUGAUCACCUACGUGUGUUCGGUUGUAAAUCAUUUGUUCAUGUUCCAAAUGAUGAAAGAUUCAAGUUGGAUGCCAAGGCUCGACAAUGCAUUUUUAUUGGUUAUGGUCUAGAUGGUGAGUUUGGUUAUAGACUCUAUGAUCCAGUUCAGAAGAAACUCGUGAGAAGCAGAGAUGUUGUCUU
RNAcentral lists this long non-coding RNA (10792 nucleotides) under Gossypium barbadense (sea-island cotton). RNAcentral's name for it is "long non-coding RNA (GBAR_LNC006250)". Lineage: Eukaryota; Viridiplantae; Streptophyta; Magnoliopsida; Malvales; Malvaceae. The record is from RNAcentral.